ACUCAAAGGAAUUGACGGGGGCCCGCACAAGCGGUGGAGCAUGGGGAUUAAUUCGUCAUUAACCGAAGAACCUUACCAGGGCUUGACAUCCGCAGCAAGUCCGUGAAAGCGGUACCCCUCGGCGCAAGCCGAGCUGCGAGACAGGUGUUGCAUGGCUGUCGUCAGCUCGUGUCGUGAGAUGUUGGGUUAAGUCCCGCAACGAGCGCAACCCUCACGCGAUGUUGCCAGCGUCAAGUCGGGCACUCUUCGCGAACUGCCCGGGUAACCGGGAGGAAGGUGGGGAUGACGUCAAGUCGGCAUGGCCCUUACGUCCUGGGCUUCACCCAUGCUACAAUGGGCGCGACAGAGGGAUGCAAGACCGCGAGGUGGAGCCAAUCCCAAAAAGGCGCUCUCAGUUCGGAUUGCAGGCUGCAACUCGCCUGCAUGAAGUCGGAAUCGCUAGUAACCGCCGGUCAGCUAAACGGCGGUGAAUACGUUCCCGGGCCUUGCACACACCGCCCGU
Molecule: ribosomal RNA, 502 nt
Filed under: uncultured bacterium
Lineage: Bacteria
Description: partial 16S ribosomal RNA
Rfam family: Bacterial small subunit ribosomal RNA
Source: RNAcentral